AAUAAAUGUAGUAAUAAAUGAAAGAAAUUAAAUGAUAAAUCAUUAAAUUUAAAAGAUUUGGCAGUAUUUAAUAUUUAGAGGAACCUGUGUAGUAAUUGAUAAUCCACGAUAAGAUAAACUUAAUUAAAAAUUUAUGUAUUGCUGUUUUUAAUAUUUAAUUAAGUUAGAUAGAUAAAAUUUAUUAUAUUUUAUAAAGUAAUUCAAGUCAAAAUAUAGUUUAGUUAAGAUUAAUAUGGGUUACAAUUAAUUAAAUUAUUGGAUUAAGAAAUUUAAGAUUUUUAAGAAAUUGGAUUUAAAAGUAAAUUUAAUUAAUUAAUUAAAUUGAAUAAUAAAUUAAAUAUGU
This 343-nucleotide ribosomal RNA is filed under the name Vespa tropica. RNAcentral describes it as "partial small subunit ribosomal RNA". Lineage: Eukaryota; Metazoa; Arthropoda; Insecta; Hymenoptera; Vespidae. The record is from RNAcentral.